Pan troglodytes (chimpanzee) is the source of this 1292-nucleotide long non-coding RNA. RefSeq lists it as uncharacterized. The transcript has 2 exons. The record is from RefSeq and is a predicted model, not a curated record. NCBI's taxonomy places the organism in Eukaryota, Metazoa, Chordata, Mammalia, Primates, Hominidae.
GAUUGAAAGGCUGGGUCUUACAGAGGAGAUCAGAUCAUGAGGACUCUCCCCUCAUGAAUGAAUGAAAGAAUGGAUUAAUGAAAUGGGUUAUCAUAGAAGGGAAACUGGUGGCUUCACAACAAGAUGAGAGAUCUGACCUCGAAUAUUUGCCUGCUCAGCCCCAUUGCCAUGCGAUGCCAUGUCCUGUGCCACCUCUGGACUCUGCAGGGAGUCCCCACCAGCAAGAAGGCUCUCACCAGACAUAGCUCCUCGACCUUGGAUUUCUCAGCCUCCAGAACGGCUCUACAGAUUGAUUUUAAAGCCACCUACACUGCAGUUCCUUCAAUUUAGCUCCACUUAUCUGAUUAUGCAUCACAAAAGGAAGCAGAAAUUCAGCUUAAUUGUGAAGCCAUUGCAGCAGAACCAAGCAAAUGAUAGAAAACCUCAUGAUCACAGACAGAAUCACACUCACUGAUGCUGAAUGAAAUGACAGACAUCCGUCCCUCUGCAGAAGCCUGAAUACUGAUCACAGAAUUUUAUGUUCUGACAUUGUGUGUCUCUUGUCAGAUAGUGUUGUCCUUUACUUUCCCCGGUUCAGUUGUGAAAGUCAGGUGCAGUCUCCUACUAUUUUUUUUUUAAAUUCAUUAUGACAAGUAAAUGGUCUCUGGGAAAGCGAACAUCCUCAUCCACUGUUUACUGAAACUGUAACACUGUCAUGAGUGAAGAAUGAAACAUGUUUAAUGUAAAGAGUUUGCAGAAUGAUGAUCAGAGGAAAAGAACAUUAAACAGAAGAAACAUAAAUAUAAGAAUGGGGAGAGAGAUGUAAUCAAAAGACAGCUUGUAAGGGAGGUUACAUGCUGCCAUUUGCUUUUCAGCUGUGUUUUCCAUAGUGGGACAGAUCUUGCUCUUUGUUACUUCUACUUUUGCUUUUUCCCAUCUGCAAAGAGGGAAACAAUCUGCUUUUGAAUCUCUAGUGAAGCAUCACCUAGAAGCUGCUGCCAAAGCUUGAUAUCCAGAGUGCUCUAAAACAUAGUGUGAUGUGCCCUUUCAUCUUAAAGGAUUAUUUUUGGCUGGGCAGACCUCUCUAAGAUAGAUUAUAAGGAGCUGGCUUUUAAAGGCAAUGAAAACUGCUUCUGUAUUCACAUUUACCCCCUCCCUCCAUUAUCUGAGGUAUGUAAAUAAUGUUUUAAAGUGGUGAUGUGAGAAUAUUAAUUAUGUUUUCAUUUCUUGUUCCUGUUACCAUGUAAUAUAUCUUCAAGUGCUGAGAAAACAUCUUACAAAACCAUUAAAGAUUCCAAAUGUUCAUACAUAAA